RNAcentral lists this long non-coding RNA (382 nucleotides) under Setaria viridis. Its description in RNAcentral is "long non-coding RNA (SVIR_LNC000088)". The record is from RNAcentral. Lineage: Eukaryota; Viridiplantae; Streptophyta; Magnoliopsida; Poales; Poaceae.
ACAUUUCUUGAGAUUGAAGCCUCGCUCUCGAUGGGUACGUCACCUAUUACUGAAAGAAUAAUGUAAGCACUGGUGUGGAGUCCUCCACUCAUUUCGCGCGGAGGCCUUACUUUUCUAGAGAAUAAGACCUUGUUGCGGCAUUGCAUUAUUGAAGAUAAGGCUAACCCCACCAAUAAAUAUAAAUUUCCAUCCAAACCAUAAAAUCUAAGAAAACUUACCAAAAACGACCUAAACAGAUUGCAUCUGAUAUAUAAAUCCCAUAUACUUUUUUGUGUUUUAAGAUGACCCUCACAAAGAUCAAUUAUAUAAAUGCUUUCAAAAAUACUUGAGAAUAAUUUUGUUCAAACCUUGUUGACCUCACCAUCACUCUCGGCGGAGGCUA